This is a long non-coding RNA of Aethalodelphis obliquidens (Pacific white-sided dolphin), 1072 nucleotides long. RefSeq lists it as uncharacterized. Lineage: Eukaryota; Metazoa; Chordata; Mammalia; Artiodactyla; Delphinidae. The transcript is spliced from 2 exons. The record is from RefSeq and is a predicted model, not a curated record.
UUAUUAUAUGAUAUUACAACAGCUAAUUUUCAUAAAACAGGAAAUUAAAUUCCAGGUCAACUGGAGGGACAGGUGGGGCAGAGAAGGUGGGAUUUUUUCUGAUAGUUUCAAUAAGAAAGAUAUAAAAUCAAGGUAUUCGAUCAGAGCUGCAGUUUUCAACACUUGUUACUCACCAGCAUCAACUGGGGAGCAAUUUAAACAAAGACUGGCUGUAUCAGACCAAUUAAAUGAUAAUAUCUGGGAGUGAAGCUCAGGCUGCCGUAUUUUUCAAAAGCUCAGCAGAUGAUACUAGUGUGUAGUAGGGGCUGAGCAUCGCUGGACAAGGUUCUCGCUGCUUAGAGUGUGGUUCAGGGAUCAGCAGCGUCGACCUUGCCUGCAAGUGUCAGAGCCUCACCUGCAAGUGUCAGAGCCUCACCUGCAAGUGUCAGAGCCACAAAACCUCAGGCCCCGCCUCGCCCGAGACCUACUGCAUCAGAGCUGUAUUUUAACAAGAUCCCCUGGUGGUUCACAUGCACACGGACAUUUCAGGAGCACUGGAUUAGAUGACUUCCAAGGUCACUUUCCGCCCUGAGGUAGGUGUCCAAUAAAUGCUAAAUGAAAUAAUGGCACAGUAAUCUGAUGUCCCAGGAAAGUCCUAGGCAGAAAGGCUUCUGGAACCAGGAGCAGCAGGGAUGCCACAAGAGCCCAAAACUGGUUUUUCCCUGACCUAGAAAUCUUGACAAAAGCACACUUGUGCUUACAGGCCAGGAGCAAUUAAUUAGCAGGGUGUCCCUGGCAAGCUUCUGGGGCCAAUGGAAAAGCAUGACGGGAAGUGACACAGAUCAACAGGAAUCAGAGACAGAGAGUAAAAGAGAGAUCUCAGUGACGCUCUAGCAGCAGCUCCAGGAAUCUGGACCUGGAAACUUCCCUUCUGGCACAGAACUGCCAGACCUUUAUUUUGUCAAGAUGCCAAAACAAAACGAAAUGAAGUGAAAAACAAACAACUCGCAUCACCACGAUUUCUUUUUUUUUUUUUUUUUUUUAAAGAAGGGCACUUUCAUGCCAAAUAAAUAAAUAAAGCUCUUGACAUAGC